CCCUUAGAUGUUCUGGGCCGCACGCGUGCUGCACUGAGUGGAUCAGCGGGUCAGGUUGCGCGAAAGUGUUUCCUAAUCUUGAAAUCCGCUCGUGAUGGGGAUUGGCGGUUGCAAUUUUCCGUCAUGAACGAGGAAUACCUUGUAAGCGCGGGUCAUCAUCCCGCGCUGAAUACGUCCCUGCCCUUUGUACACACCGCCCGUCGCUCCUACCGAUUGAGUGGUCCGGUGAGGCUUUGGGAUCUGAGCGGAAAGAGCGUUUCGCUGUUUCUGCUCGGAAAACUCAGUCGAACCUUAUCAUUUAGAGGAAGGAGAAGUCGUAACA
Molecule: ribosomal RNA, 322 nt
Filed under: uncultured eukaryote
Lineage: Eukaryota
Description: partial 18S ribosomal RNA
Rfam family: Eukaryotic small subunit ribosomal RNA
Source: RNAcentral